This 118-nucleotide ribosomal RNA is filed under the name teleost environmental sample. RNAcentral's name for it is "partial 16S ribosomal RNA". It matches the Rfam family "Bacterial large subunit ribosomal RNA", at positions 2483 to 2600 of the family's 2925-position model. The record is from RNAcentral. Lineage: Eukaryota; Metazoa; Chordata; Actinopteri.
CAAUCCCCUUUUAGAGCCCCUAUCGACAAGGGGGUUUACGACCUCAAUGUUGGAUCAGGACAUCCUAAUGGUGCAACCGCUAUUAAGGGUUCGUUUGUUCAACGAUUAAAGUCCUACG